Molecule: ribosomal RNA, 157 nt
Filed under: uncultured type I methanotroph
Lineage: Bacteria; Pseudomonadati; Pseudomonadota; Gammaproteobacteria; Methylococcales; Methylococcaceae
Description: partial 16S ribosomal RNA
Rfam family: Bacterial small subunit ribosomal RNA
Source: RNAcentral
AAUAUUGGACAAUGGGCGCAAGCCUGAUCCAGCAAUACCGCGUGUGUGAAGAAGGCCYUAGGGUUGUAAAGCACUUUCAAUKGGGAGGAAAACCUGCCGGUCAAUACCCGGUAGCUUGACAUUACCUUUAGAAGAAGCACCGGCUAAAUCCGUGCCA